Molecule: long non-coding RNA, 1566 nt
Filed under: Mytilus galloprovincialis (Mediterranean mussel)
Lineage: Eukaryota; Metazoa; Mollusca; Bivalvia; Mytilida; Mytilidae
Source: RNAcentral
UGAACAAUUCUUAAACAGUGAUCAUACAAUAACAUCAAAAUAUAAAUAAAUCAACAUUUCUAUACUGACAUCAUCAAAUGAUAAUACAAUCGAAUAUGAAUCAAAUCAUAUCAAAAUACCGGACGGGCUCUCACUGUAUGAUUGUGAACUCGUUAGAAGUUGUUGCUUUAUGGAAAAUAUCAAUCAUUGUGUUAAUAAAAGAACUGGUGUGUACAUCUUUUGUAUAAAAAAAAGAAAGUAUUGGGCUAUGUUUGACAAAGCAUGUGAUUUUACUUAUUUUUGAAAUGUUCAUGUUCUGUCUAUGAGUAUUUUUUUUUGGGUAAAAAGCAUACAUUUGUUCGUGUUAAUUGACAACUAUAACGUAAUAUGUUAACACCGUUGUGGUUUAAAUGUUGUAUAUCUAUGUUUGUUUUGUAUUGAUCACUUGAUGUAUCCCUUCCUUACUUUGUAUUUAUAGAUUAUCGUUGCUCAUCUCAACGAGAUUGAUAUUCUCGCUUGAGCCGGGACGGCGAAAUCGAAAAAGUCAAUCGAGUUGAGAUGAUCAAUGAUAAUCUGUUUAUCGCUAUUUUACCUAUGACAACGUUGUCAAUUUCCUGUCAAUUUCGUUAGCAACGCCACGUGCCUGCUUAGUUUCUAGCAAUAAUUUUCCAUCUCAAGCGAGGAGCAUGAUAUGAAAAUUAUCACAAAAAAAGAUCAAAGGAAAAAUGCACAAAAUAGCGAUAAAUAAUAUUACUGAAUAAAUUAUCAAAUGUUUGCGUAUUGUUUAUUAUGUACUUUCUGUUCUUUAUGUAGUUCAUUUCAUUGAUUGAAAAUUAAGAAGACUCCGUCCCUAUUUUGAUAUGAUCCGCUGAACCCAAAAAGGUUCGUUUACUCAUCACGGGAAUACUAAUAUCAUUUUAAUAAUUCAUACUCCUACACACACGUACCGAUUCAAAAGAACACAAAGCGUAAUUAACCGGGGAGUAUUUCUGUAACAUUAACCUUGUUGGUAAGUUAUAGGGAUAUUAAACAUUUACAUCAAAUCAUCUUGAAGUAAAAUAAACAGUGUGAGAGAAAAUCUGGCAAGGGCAGAUUUUACUAUUUCAUAAUAAGGGUAAACUAACUUACAGUAAUUAGCAUACAAAACAAGAAAAUCUUUCCCGAAACAUUCAUUUCCUUUAAAUUAAAAAAAAUUAUAACACAUACAUACAAUACCCAGCCAGCAUUUCUUUAUACUCUGAUACAUCAAUAACAAAAAUAUCACUAUAUAAAAUUUCAUCAGAUCACAGUCAUUCCUACCUCUAUAAACAAUUUCUGUGGUAAAGUUAGUGCUAGACAGAACUAACUGAGUUAUAUUUUAGCAAAUGAAAACAUACAUUCGAGGGACAACAACUUCUCUUAACUAUGAUUGUUGGCAAGACAAUUAAAUAACUCUAUCUUCAUGCUACAAGUAUUUAUAAUAAUUAAUUAAUUAUUUAGGCAUAGACAAUAAAUAAUCUAAUCUUUCAACAUAAAUAAGAAAAAUAAAGUCAUCUUAUGAAAAAUAAAAAUACAACAUUAUCAUAUAUAUAAUAUAUAGUUUCUCAU